Molecule: ribosomal RNA, 460 nt
Filed under: uncultured bacterium
Lineage: Bacteria
Description: partial 16S ribosomal RNA
Rfam family: Bacterial small subunit ribosomal RNA
Source: RNAcentral
CCUACGGGGUGCAGCAGUGAGGAAUAUUGGUCAAUGGGCGCGAGCCUGAACCAGCCAAGUAGCGUGAAGGAUGACUGCCCUACGGGUUGUAAACUUCUUUUAUAAAGGAAUAAAGUGAGGCACGUGUGCCUUUUUGUAUGUACUUUAUGAAUAAGGAUCGGCUAACUACGUGCCAGCAGCCGCGGUAAUACGGAGGAUCCGAGCGUUAUCCGGAAUUAUUGGGUUUAAAGGGAGCGUAGAUGGGUUGUAAAGUCAGUUGUGAAAGUUUGCGGCUCAAACGUAAAAUUGCAAUUGAUACUGGCAGCCUUGAGUACAGUUGAGGUAGGCGGAAUUCGAGGUGUAGCGGUGAAAUGCUUAGAUAUAACGAAGAACUCCGAUUGCGAAGGCAGCUUACUAAACUGCCACUGACAUUGAUGCUCGAAAGUGUGGGUAUCAAACAGGAUUAGAUACCCGGGUAGUC